AUUUUGGCUCUUGAUGUUAGAAACCUAUAAAUUGAGAGUUCCACUUCAUUUAUGAUUAAGAGAAACCUGCAUUUAUUUGUCUACCUAUUUUUUUUGCCUCAAAAUCUCUUAUUCUUUCUUUGGUGCAUUAAACAUCCACUUGCAUAUUCCUUAGUGCACCAUUGUUAUUCAUCCUAGCAUUUGAGUUGUAUUUGAGCCCUUGUUAAGUUAGGUUGAGAGAUUUAAAUUUUUUAUUUGGGUGGUAGAAGCUUCAAGUGAGUAGAGACUUGAAGAAAUUGUGUAAGAGCCCAUUGAAGCCGGAAUCCAAGUGUAAAUGUGUUAGAAGUUUGGUUGAAGCUUCAAGUAUACUGAAACCCUUAUUAGAUUACGAGCUUGAGGAGAGUGGACGUAGGCAAGGGGUGUCGAACCACUAUAAAAUCUGAAUUUGCUUUCUCUAAUUUUAUUUAUUUAUAUUUGUGUUUCCUUUGCUUGAAUUUGUUACUAGGCGUUGUGCGUAUCGACCCGUGCAGUAUUGUAGCUAACGCGUUAAGUAUCCCGCCUGGGGAGUACGUUCUCAAGAAUGAAACUCAAAGGAAUUGACAAGGGCCCGCACAAGCGGUGGAACAUGUGGUUUAAUUCGAUGCAAAGCGAAAAACCUUACCAGGGAUUGACAUGCCUCGAAUCCUCUUGAAAGAAAGGGGUACUUUCGGGAACGCGGACACAGGUGGUGCAUGGCUGUCGUCAGCUCGUGCCAUAAGGUGUUGGGUUAAGUCCCGCAACGAGCGCAACCCUCAUGUUUAGUUGCCACCGUUAAGUUUGGAAUCCUGAGCAGACUGUCGGUGAUAAGCUGGAGGAAGGUGAGGAUGAUGUCAAGUCAUCAUGCCCCUUAUGCCCUGGGCGACACACGUGCUACAAUGGCCGGGACAAAAGGUCGCAAUCCUGCAAGAGUGAGCUAACUCCAAAAACCCGUCCUCAGUUCGGAUUGCAGGCUGCAACUCGCCUGCAUGAAGCCAGAAUCGCUAGUAAUCAUUGGUCAGCCAUACGGCGGUGAAUUUGUUCCCGAGCCUUGUACACACCGCCUAUCACACUAUGGGAGUGUUUGAAAAAAAAAAUUAAAAACCCAAUUCACUCAUCCUCUUAGGUGUUUUCCUUAUUAAGAUUAGCCUUUAUUUUCUCAACAACUUAUCUACUUACG
This 1174-nucleotide ribosomal RNA is filed under the name Vitis vinifera (wine grape). Its description in RNAcentral is "bacterial SSU rRNA". The stretch from base 315 to 1174 matches the Rfam family "Bacterial small subunit ribosomal RNA". Lineage: Eukaryota; Viridiplantae; Streptophyta; Magnoliopsida; Vitales; Vitaceae. The record is from RNAcentral.